GCUUUAUGAACUUAGACAUUCUAUAUAUUUUUAAAUAAAAAUAAUUUUUUAAAUGUUCAUUUGGUUGGGGCGACAAUAGUAUAAUAAGAGUAACUGCUUUUAAGUUUAACAAAAAUGUUUGAGUCAUAUUUAGUUGAUCCUUUUUAAAGAUUCUAAGAUCAAGUU
This 165-nucleotide ribosomal RNA is filed under the name Thalamita sp. CBM:ZC:14960. Its description in RNAcentral is "partial 16S rRNA". Lineage: Eukaryota; Metazoa; Arthropoda; Malacostraca; Decapoda; Portunidae. The record is from RNAcentral.